Molecule: long non-coding RNA, 557 nt
Filed under: Gallus gallus (chicken)
Lineage: Eukaryota; Metazoa; Chordata; Aves; Galliformes; Phasianidae
Source: RNAcentral
GGGAUCCAUCAGUUCCCAAAUCCAGGGCCAUAUGGGGUCAUCCAUCCAACGGGAUCCAUCAGUUCCCGUUACCGUGGCUAUAUGAGGACAUGGAGCCAUUAGGAUCCCGUUUUUGGGACCAUAUGGGGUCAUCCGUCCAUUGGGAUCCAUCAGUUCCCAUUUCUGGGUCCAUAUGGGGUCAUCCGUCCAUUGGGAUCCAUCGGUUCCCAUUUCCAGGUCCAUAUGGGGUCAUCCGUCCAUUGGGAUCCAUCAGUUCCUAUUUAUAUGGGGUCAUCCAUCUAUUGGGAUCCAUCGGUUCCCAUUCUGGGGUCCGUUUGGGGUCAUCCAUCCAUUGGGAUCCAUCCGUUCCUAUUUCCAGUCCCACUCCAGUCCCAUUGGGAUCCCUUUGGGACCCCUCCAAUCCCAUCGGGGUUCCUCCAAUCCCAUUGGGAUCGCUCCAACCCUAUCAGGACCCUUUCGAUCCCAUUGAGAUCCCUCCAACCCCAUUAGGGUCUGUCCACUCCCAUUGGGAUCCCUCCAAUCCCACUGGGACCCCCCCAAUCCCUUUGGGAUCCCCC